Molecule: unclassified non-coding RNA, 377 nt
Filed under: Hevea brasiliensis (rubber tree)
Lineage: Eukaryota; Viridiplantae; Streptophyta; Magnoliopsida; Malpighiales; Euphorbiaceae
Source: RNAcentral
CUGCAGAAUCAAAGAGAUGGUAUUUCACACUACAGAUACUACAAAAAGUGUAAAUUAUAGACAUUUCAUAUAAUUUACAUGAUCUGACACAUGAAAACAAAGAGCAAAAUAAUAGUAGAAUACAGUUUUGAUGACCUAAUACAAAAAAAUUUAUUAGGUAAAAUCAUUCUCCUGCUAAGAUGCAUCCGUUGUGAAGGUGUGUAUGUUAUCAGAACAAAAAUAGUAGCAACCCCAGCACGCUUCAUACAUAACUAUAACAAACCACAACCUUAGUAACUUAAAAAUGUGCUGCACAACAAUAAGCUUUUACCAUUAGCACAUACCUUUUCCAUUAGAGAGACAAAUAUAUUGGCAAAACAGGGAAAGGCAGGAACCAG